RNAcentral lists this unclassified non-coding RNA (314 nucleotides) under plant metagenome. RNAcentral describes it as "partial contains 5.8S ribosomal RNA, internal transcribed spacer 2, and large subunit ribosomal RNA". The stretch from base 1 to 105 matches the Rfam family "5.8S ribosomal RNA", at positions 50 to 154 of the family's 154-position model. The record is from RNAcentral.
GAAAUGCGAUAAUUAAUGUGAAUUGCAGAAUUCAGUGAAUCAUCGAGUCUUUGAACGCACAUUGCGCCCCCUGGUAUUCCGGGGGGCAUGCCUGUCCGAGCGUCAUUGCUGCCCUCAAGCACGGCUUGUGUGUUGGGCUUCCGUCCCUGGCAACGGGGACGGGCCCAAAAGGCAGUGGCGGCACCAUGUCUGGUCCUCGAGCGUAUGGGGCUUUGUCACCCGCUCCCGUAGGUCCAGCUGGCAGCUAGCCUCGCAACCAAUCUUUUUAACCAGGUUGACCUCGGAUCAGGUAGGGACACCCGCUGAACUUAAGC